CCUACGGGAGGCAGCAGUGGGGAAUUUUGGACAAUGGGGGAAACCCUGAUCCAGCAAUGCCGCGUGAGUGAAGAAGGCCUUCGGGUUGUAAAGCUCUUUUGUCAGGGAAGAAACACCGGCUCUAACACAGUCCGGGAAUGACGGUACCUGAAGAAUAAGCACCGGCUAACUACGUGCCAGCAGCCGCGGUAAUACGUAGGGUGCGAGCGUUAAUCGGAAUUACUGGGCGUAAAGCGUGCGCAGGCGGUUAUACAAGACAGGCGUGAAAUCCCCGGGCUUAACCUGGGAAUGGCGCCUGUGACUGUAUAGCUAGAGUGUGUCAGAGGGGGGUAGAAUUCCACGUGUAGCAGUGAAAUGCGUAGAUAUGUGGAGGAAUACCAAUGGCGAAGGCAGCCCCCUGGGAUAACACUGACGCUCAUGCACGAAAGCGUGGGGAGCAAACAGGAUUAGAUACCCUGGUAGUCCACGCCCUAAACGAUGCUGACUAGUUGUUCGGGAUUUACAUCCUGAGUAACGUAGCUAACGCGUGAAGUCAGCCGCCUGGGGAGUACGGUCGCAAGAUUAAAACUCAAAUGAAUUGACGG
This 584-nucleotide ribosomal RNA is filed under the name uncultured beta proteobacterium. Its description in RNAcentral is "bacterial SSU rRNA". It matches the Rfam family "Bacterial small subunit ribosomal RNA", at positions 338 to 916 of the family's 1533-position model. The record is from RNAcentral. Lineage: Bacteria; Pseudomonadati; Pseudomonadota; Betaproteobacteria.